Molecule: long non-coding RNA, 1909 nt
Filed under: Mus musculus (house mouse)
Lineage: Eukaryota; Metazoa; Chordata; Mammalia; Rodentia; Muridae
Description: RIKEN cDNA 4930412C18 gene
Source: RNAcentral
GCGCGGGUAUCCUCAAGGGACCUGCGCAGAGUCUGGACAUUACUCUCAGGCCAACGAGGUGGGCAGGCCUGCUGCUAGGUGACCGAGUCCUCUUUGGCGGUUUUAAUUUCCCCAGCAACUUGCUCGCCUUCUGCUGUAGCUGAAUCUGGCGCGUAAGAUUCCUGGCGGCCCAGGCCCACACCAAGGUUUGUGCCCGGCCCAGCCAGAGUGAAGUUUGAAACGGAGACCUCUGCCGGAAGGAGCGGGUCGUUGGCAGGACAGCGGUUUGGCCUCCUUCCCCUCCGCCCUUGCACAGCCUGGGGCGGUGAGGAGGGUUAAUGUGAGAUGGCACAGCAUAGGAGACUGAAGUGUGAAAGAAGUCAUAAGAAGGCUUCCUGAGGACUUUGAGGCAACAGAGUGUUGCGUUAAGACCUGACCAUGAGGCAUCAGGCCAUGCCUGCGGAGCCGUGGACAAACAUGAAGCAGUAGAACAGCGUUGUCAAAAUAUACUCACUGAAUUAUGUCAAGACCUUACAGCGCAGAAUUAUUUGAGGGAAACACCAAGUACCAUCAAAAAGAAUUGAAGCCUGACAACCAAGGCUUGAGGCUGACUUCUUUCUCUGAGGCUCCCUCACUCCUGCGCCUCUUGAAUGCCUGACCCUGAAUGAAGCUUCUGUCAUCUAAGAUGGGAAGAGCAGGAGUGUAUCCGUAGUGGCUUUGAUGAGGAUGGAACCCACGUGGUUCCAGACUUUGCCUUUUACACUGACAGUGUUCCGGGAUCUCAAACAUGUCCCAUCCUGCUAGUUUGCUUUGCACCAUUUAAAAUGUCUUGUUUACUCUUCAGAGUUUCAUGUUGAUCUUGGCUUGGGAUAUAUGGCCUUUCUAAAUCUUGAAGGAAGACAUAUUUGUUACUGAGAAGUGGCCUGUGUUCUGUUUCUUUAUCCUCCUGAAUUCUGAAAGUUCAUCUAAGACAGAAAGCUGGCUUAGGUUCCCCCUGCAUCACUCACCCUUCCUGUUGCCAAAACGAGGGAGUGGAGUAAGGCAUGUUGGAAUCACGGACCCAGAUGCGGAUGCUGGCCUGAUUCUCUAUUGCCCACAAAUAUUUAAUGAUAGUCUCUGUGCAUGACACAGUAUGUUCAAUCAGUAACAUUAUUGAUGAUGUUUUCAAGUUAUAGAAUCUUAAAAUCUAAAGUGUAAGGCUUUCAUGUACCUAUGCAAGAACUCUUUGUAAGGCAUUUAAAUUUGUUCUGCAUUAAUUCUAACCUAAAAGACAAAGGUAAAAAUAAAAACUAGUCCAAAGUCUUACAGCCAUAGUAAUUCUUCCAAAGUCACAAGCAGGUGCCUUUUAAAAAUAGUAGUAUGUCGAGUGGCUCACAGUGCUUGGAAUUAAAAGGUUAAGUGAACAUAAAGCGCACACCCAGGUUCUUGACAGCCUGGUGUAUGAAGAACAGAUUGGUUCGCACUGUGCCUGAGAAGCCCGUUAGAGCCCUGCCACAGAAGUGGGUACCGCGAGAUGGAUGGGAUCGCCCUUUCCUUCAGGAAGUAGGAAUCCCUGUAUUACAAGGACUCAAAUUCUGCCGCUAGGGGGCAGUGCCCCACAGCUCUGCAACUGGAAGGCACUGCACUGGGGAAGAUUUAUCCAUUUUGUACCCUCACCAACUCCCUCUCCUUCAUUUCUCAGGAUGACAACACCUUGCAGGUUUAUGGCCGUCAGGAGAAUUUACUGCUAAGCCAUAUACUGAUGUAAUGAAAUCUAAUAUAUGCCGUGCCAUGAAUUAUGAGUUGUUAUUUAGUUUGGGGAUUUUAUUACUUCAAUCACUUAUGACCAUAUUUCCUUUUAUAUGAUUGCUCACUCUUUAAACAUACCAGAUGACUAUACAUGGAACACCCAAUAAAGCCCAAAUAUGUUAAAACAUUGUUAAAAUAUAAA